UGUAAAAUAAGCUAAGAAUAAGCUAUUGGGUUCAUACCCCAAAAAUGAAUGGUCAGUUCUUUUACAA
RNAcentral lists this transfer RNA (67 nucleotides) under Drupa morum. RNAcentral's name for it is "tRNA-Met". Lineage: Eukaryota; Metazoa; Mollusca; Gastropoda; Neogastropoda; Muricidae. The record is from RNAcentral.